UGCCAGCAGCCGCGGUAAUACAGAGGGUGCAAACGUUGUUCGGAAUCACUGGGCAUAAAGCGCACGUAGGCGGCUAUGCAAGUGUGGAGUAAAAGCCCACGGCUCACCCGUGGAAUUGCUUUGCAAACUGUAUGGCUCGAGGAUGGUAGGGGAGAGCGGAACUCUUGGUGGAGCGGUGAAAUGCGUAGAUAUCAAGAGGAACACCGGUGGCGAAGGCGGCUCUCUGGGGGAUGACUGACGCUGAGGCACGAAAGCUAGGGGAGCGAACAGGAUUAGAUA
RNAcentral lists this ribosomal RNA (279 nucleotides) under uncultured bacterium. RNAcentral describes it as "partial 16S ribosomal RNA". It matches the Rfam family "Bacterial small subunit ribosomal RNA", at positions 506 to 784 of the family's 1533-position model. The record is from RNAcentral.